GGCCUUGUCCUUUCCUGGAGAAGGAGAGCCUAAAUGGGUGGAGCGAACUUAGAACUCUUGGAACUUAGAGGAACUUUCAAAUGUGGCUGCUGCACGUCUGGACCUAGAAAAGGGUGUGGAGCAGUUUAUCAGAGCAGAGGAGAACAUUGAUGCCACAUACAGACCCACAGGCCGAGACUGGGCAGCUAUCUUCAGCAACAAGUUGGCUUUGAAAUGGACUGAGGUAUGUGGAACUGGUGAAGAUGCUUUUAACUCAUGCAAGCACUGUAAGAAUGAAUGCAGGUGCAGAGGUAACUGACACUCCUGGGAAGCAGACUGCUUGGAACAGGAUGACUGCCAGAAUGAGGCUGGUAUACCCCACACGUCUUGACUGGGGUGCAAUCACAAAGCAGCUGAAGGGAGUCAAGAAGACCACCAGAAUAUGCCAUCUCCAAGAAACUGCCAAGGUCCAUCAUAUCAGUGGAAAACUGCUGCUGCUGAGUCUGUGAUGAAAGAGGACAUUGGGCCAAGGAUUGCCAAAGAGAGAGGAAACAACAUCUCAAACAUGAACCAUCUUCUCCCUCCCUUUGGUUUCCAUCAUCAAAUGUGAGAGACCAUGAAGAGGACAAGGUGAAAGAUGGUUUGCCAGUUCCAGGUGACGAACCACAAAAUUCCUACGUGCCAGGAGUCCAGGACAGUGGAUCUGGGUCAGAGACUUUCGGAGGAAGGCGUGGCACUGUCCGAGGUAGAUGGGGCCAUGAGAUAAUCCUGACAAUCAACACUGCCAUCAAGGUUGACAAGGAUGAUACCUGGAUUCACGUGUCGGACUGCAAACCUCACUAACCUGACAACACGUAAACAGAGCUGAGGAACUACACCUGCUGAAAAGAUCUCGCAACAUCUCUGAAAUGAAAAUGUUGAGACAUCGGCCAGCCAGACAAGCAUGGAGUCUGGGAUCAACUUUGGGCCAGCAAAUGGUUCUGAUUUUGUGCAAUAACAAUUCCAGUAAUAAUGUUAUCUCAAUUUUUAGGAUCAAUUACAAAGUUUGUUUUAUGCUUUUUACUUAUUCUGCUUAUCAUAGCACUUGCAAUUUUAUGUACUGCUAAAUGUAUUCGUGCAUUAAUGAAAAAAGUACUUGGAGAACAGAGAGAGCUGAAGAUCAGAGGAUUUUAGAAAGAAACUGUAUGGGAAGAUAAAGGUAAAAAGCAGGUCAUUUUAUGAGAUAAUGGAACCGGAUUUGAGAAUGUGAUCGUGUAAAAACGAUCAGAGGGGGGAAUGUGAUGGAAAUAUUUUAUGUCAACAUGAAAUGUACAGAAAAUGCAGACUAAGGAUGCUCAGGUCAAAGACCAGUCACAUAAUUAGCUUAGAUCAUUACAAACCAAUCACCAGAACAAAUCACAGUGAUGAAGACAUUGAUUUUUACUCAACUGUAAGACUUAAAUGUGCAUGUAUCUUUCUAUUCAUUGAGACUCACUUGGUUGUUGUGACCAGUGAUCUCCCGGCCGUAAAUAAAACUUCAUUUCUACAAAGAGCAACUUGGAAGUCGUGUCAGGUAUAUGCUGCGCAGCUAAA
Molecule: long non-coding RNA, 1551 nt
Organism: Megalobrama amblycephala (Wuchang bream)
Lineage: Eukaryota; Metazoa; Chordata; Actinopteri; Cypriniformes; Xenocyprididae
Exons: 2
Source: RefSeq, a predicted model, not a curated record